This 292-nucleotide ribosomal RNA is filed under the name uncultured bacterium. RNAcentral's name for it is "partial 16S ribosomal RNA". It matches the Rfam family "Bacterial small subunit ribosomal RNA", at positions 505 to 796 of the family's 1533-position model. The record is from RNAcentral.
GUGUCAGCAGCCGCGGUAAUACGAAGGGGGCUAGCGUUGUUCGGAAUUACUGGGCGUAAAGGGCGCGUAGGCGGUCCUGAUCGUCGGAUGUGAAAGGCCUGGGCUCAACCUGGGAAUGGCAUCCGAUACGGCGGGACUGGAGUGUGGGAGAGGUUGGUGGAAUUCCCAGUGUAGAGGUGAAAUUCGUAGAUAUUGGGAAGAACACCGGUGGCGAAGGCGGCCAACUGGACCACAACUGACGCUGAGGCGCGAAAGCGUGGGGAGCAAACAGGAUUAGAUACCCCUGUAGUCC